RNAcentral lists this ribosomal RNA (497 nucleotides) under uncultured bacterium. Its description in RNAcentral is "partial 16S ribosomal RNA". It matches the Rfam family "Bacterial small subunit ribosomal RNA", at positions 28 to 507 of the family's 1533-position model. The record is from RNAcentral.
GAUGAACGCUGGCGGCGUGCCUAAUACAUGCAAGUCGAGCGAACGGACGAGAAGCUUUCUUCUCUGAUGUUAGCGGCGGACGGGUGAGUAACACGUGGAUAACCCACCUAUAAGACUAGGAUAACUUCGGGAAACCGGAGCUAAUACCGGAUAAUAUUUUGAACCGCAUGGUUCAUAAGUGAAAGACUGUCUUUCUGUCACGUAUAGAUGGAUCCGCGCUGCAUUAGCUAGUUGGUAAGGUAACGGCUUACCAAGGCAACGAGGCAUAGCCGACCUGAGAGGAUGGUCGGCCACACUGGAACGGAGACACGGUCCAGACUCCUACGGUAGGCAGCGGUACGGAAUCGUCCGCUAGGGGCGGGAGCCGGAGGGAACAACGCCGCGUGGGGGGUAAAGGUCUUCGGAUCGUGAAUGUCUGUUAUUAGGGAAGAACAUAUGUGUAGGUAACUGUGCACAUCUUGACGGUACCUAAUCAGAAAGCCACGGCUAACUACGUG